This 458-nucleotide ribosomal RNA is filed under the name uncultured bacterium. RNAcentral describes it as "partial 16S ribosomal RNA". It matches the Rfam family "Bacterial small subunit ribosomal RNA", at positions 338 to 795 of the family's 1533-position model. The record is from RNAcentral.
CCUACGGGUGGCAGCAGUGAGGAAUAUUGGUCAAUGGGCGAGAGCCUGAACCAGCCAAGCCGCGUGAGGGAGUACUGCCCUAUGGGUUGUAAACCUCUUUUGUCGGGGAGCAAAAGCCGGACGUGUCCGGCUGUGAGAGUACCCGAAGAAAAAGCAUCGGCUAACUCCGUGUCAGCAGCCGCGGUAAUACGGAGGAUGCGAGAGUUAUCCGGAUUUAUUGGGUUAAAAGGGUGCGCAGGCGGAUUUUUAAGUCAGCGGUAAAAUCGUGGGGCUCAACCCCAUCCAGUCGUUGAAACUGGGGAUCUAGAGUGUGGGAGAGGUAUGCAGAAUGCGUGGUGUAGCGGUGAAAUGCAUAGAUAUCACGCAGAACCCCGGUUGCGAAGGCAGCAUACCGGUGCACAACUGACGCUCAGGCACGAAAGCGUGGGUAUCGAACAGGAUUAGAUACCCCUGUAGUC